CCUACGGGAGGCAGCAGUGAGGAAUUUUCUGCAAUGGACGAAAGUCUGACAGAGCAAUACCGCGUGAAGGACGAAGGCCUGCGGGUUGUAAACUUCUUUUCCCAAGGAGGAAGACAUGACGUUACUUGGGGAAUAAGCAUCGGCUAACCCUGUGCCAGCAGCCGCGGUAAUACAGGGGAUGCGAGUGUUAUUCGGAAUUAUUGGGUGUAAAGCGUCAGCAGGUGGACUUGUAAGUCUUUUGUUAAAUUUUCGGGCUUAACCCGAGGCAUGCAAAGGAAACUCCAAGUCUAGAGUAUGGUAGAGGUAAGAGGAAUUUCCAGAGGAGUGGUGAAAUGCGUAGAUAUUGGAAAGAACACCAACAGCGAAGGCAUCUUACUGGGCCAGUACUGACACUCAGUGACGAAAGCUUGGGUAGCAAACAGGAUUAGAUACCCUGGUAGUCCAAGCUGUAAACGAUGGGUACUAGGUGUUGUGUACUCUCAGAGUAUGCAGUGCCGUAGCUAACGCGUUAAGUACCCCACCUGGGGAGUAUGCUCGCAAGGGUGAAACUCAAAGGAAUUGACGG
This 565-nucleotide ribosomal RNA is filed under the name uncultured bacterium. Its description in RNAcentral is "bacterial SSU rRNA". It matches the Rfam family "Bacterial small subunit ribosomal RNA", at positions 338 to 916 of the family's 1533-position model. The record is from RNAcentral.